Molecule: long non-coding RNA, 456 nt
Organism: Arvicola amphibius (Eurasian water vole)
Lineage: Eukaryota; Metazoa; Chordata; Mammalia; Rodentia; Cricetidae
Exons: 3
Source: RefSeq, a predicted model, not a curated record
ACUUUGCAGGCAAGCUGGGUCAUCACAGUUUCCUCAGACUCCCUUCCUGCCAUGUGGGCCUUGCUGACCCACUCUCCUACCUUGGUAGUGUCUGGGCCUUCUAGCUAUGUCUCCUCAGUUGAGGUGAAGACGUGGAGGCUGAGCUCUGGCUAUCAGAAGACUCGAGUUUUCCUAGGAGGCUUUCUAGGCCUCUGUCAGCAGCUGCAAUUUGCGUGCACACACUGAGCUGUCGGGCUUCCGGGCUGUCAGGAAGAAGUGAAUUCGGUUAUUUCCAUUUGGUCUUUCUCCCCAGGCUGACAUGAGCAGAAUUCACAGGCUAAGGAGACCUGGGUUCAGUUCUCAGCACCCACGUGGCAGCUCACAGUGGUUAUUUCCAGUUCCAGAGAUUCAGACACCCUCUUCUGGCCGCUGCAGGAACUAUGCAUGGUGCACAGAUUACGUGCAAACAGAGCAACC